GGGGCUGUAGCUCAGCUGGCAGAGCGUUUCGUUCGCAACGAAAAGGCCACCGGUUCGACUCCGGUCAGCUCCA
Molecule: transfer RNA, 73 nt
Filed under: Ignavibacteria bacterium
Lineage: Bacteria; Pseudomonadati; Ignavibacteriota; Ignavibacteria
Description: tRNA-Ala
Rfam family: tRNA
About the family: Transfer RNA (tRNA) molecules are approximately 80 nucleotides in length. Their secondary structure includes four short double-helical elements and three loops (D, anti-codon, and T loops).
Source: RNAcentral